Molecule: ribosomal RNA, 497 nt
Filed under: uncultured bacterium
Lineage: Bacteria
Description: partial 16S ribosomal RNA
Rfam family: Bacterial small subunit ribosomal RNA
Source: RNAcentral
GAUGAACGCUGGCGGCGUGCCUAAUACAUGCAAGUCGAGCGAACGGACGAGAAGCUUGCUUCUCUGAUGUUAGCGGCGGACGGGUGAGUAACACGUGGAUAACCUACCUAUAAGACUGAGAUAACUUCGGGAAACCGGAUCUAAUACCGGAUAAUAUUUUGAACCGCAUGGUUCAAAAGUGAAAGACGGUCUUGCUGUCACUUAUAGAUGGAUCCGCGCUGCAUUAGCUAGUUGGUAAGGUAACGGCUUACCAAGGCAACGAUGCAUAGCCGACCUGAGAGGGUGAUCGGCCACACUGGAACUGAGACACGGUCCAGACUCCUACGGGAGGCAGCAGUAGGGAAUCUUCCGCAAUGGGCGAAAGCCUGACGGAGCAACGCCGCGUGAGUGAUGAAGGUCUUCGGAUCGUAAAACUCUGUUAUUAGGGAAGAACAUAUGUGUAAGUAACUGUGCCCAUCUUGACGGUACCUAAUCAGAAAGCCACGGCUAACUACGUG